RNAcentral lists this unclassified non-coding RNA (164 nucleotides) under fungal sp. RNAcentral's name for it is "partial internal transcribed spacer region". Lineage: Eukaryota; Fungi. The record is from RNAcentral.
UGUCGAAAUGUGUCGUAGAGGCUAAGGCGGGCACGAGAGUGCCUAAUCAAGUAAGUGAUGUAGUGAGAUCGCAGCAUAUGACCGAGGCAAUUUGAGGUUAUAUGGUCAAGCGAAUAAGCGCACACGGUGGAUGCCUUGGCGGUCAGAGGCGAUGAAGAACGCAG